CGUUCCCAUUUCUCUGCCCCUCUCCGCUCACUUUUCUCUCCCCCUCUCUCUCUCUAACCCUAGUAACUCCGGCGACUUUCACCACCAUUACUGCCGGUCACCCCGCGCCGCCGCCAUCCCUACCCAGCUGGAAAAAGACUACUUCUUCCAGAUCUCUCCCCCAUUUUCUACGCUCUCAAACUUUCUUCACUUCAUUUUCCCCAUAUCUCACGCCCUUCUCUUCUUCCAAUGCUCUCCACCUUCAUUUUCCAUCUUCUGGAUGGAAUCUCGUAAUUGGAUGUAUAAUAGGACAAACGAAAACCGAGGGGGGAUGAGGCAAGAAUUUGUAGACGGUGUCGAUGCUUUUGUUGGCUAUGCAAUGACACUUGAAACUUUUCUAAGUCAUGGCUUGGUUAGGUGCCCUUGUGUGAAAUGUCAAUGUAGGAAUUACGAGAAACCAGAGAUUGUUAGGCUUCGUCUCUAUAAAGACGGCUUGGUUAGGUGCCCUAGUAUAAUUAAAUUAUAUUUACCUUUGUAUAACAAUAUUUAUCUAUCAUUAUAAAGAUACAUUUUUUUGUAAAGUUACUUAUCUAACAGCAUUAUACAAAUACCUAUUACAGUAAUAACCAAAAAAUCUUCUAUUGAUUACUAGUAGUACUUAUAUUUAAUUGAAGACAUAACUUUAAAAAAAAAUUGUAAGUUCCAAUUAUGAGGAAUCUGAAACACCACAAGGCUACGUAACUCGAUCUUGGGAUUAUAACAGAUUAUAUCGAGGUGAUUAUAUAUAUUAGCCAGAUGAUUAUAACUUGUGAAGUAAAAUUAAAAUUCUUGUGUCACAGUUAAAGUUUAUAAUGUACUAUAACCACGUAACAAGUAAAACUAAAAUCCUUGUGUCACAGUUAAGUUUAUAAUGUACUACAACCACUCAAAUGUACGUAGCCAUCGAAACAAAUAUACUAUUACUAUGAGAGUAUAUACAUAUAUUUAGAUAUAUUAUACAGAAAAAACACACAAAUUGAUCAUGCAUGAAUUUAAACUGGAAUAAAUAUGCUCUGUUUGGUUUUUCUGGUGUAUGUAAUGUGCACAUUAUAUUUAUCUCAUGGUAUAAAAACAAUUACCUAUACCUAUAGAACAACAUAACUGGCUGCCAUUGACCUACAAGCCUUAGAAAAGUAUGCUCUGUUUGGUAAUGCUGCAAAUUGAAUCAGUUGGUAUUUUUAAACUCUUAAAAGAAAAUGGAAUUAAUAAAAAACAAUUAAGGCAAACUUGACAAUUAGGCACACUCUUCCUACUUCCUACUACUAUAAAUAUGUGAAUGUAGGAGCUUAAGAUUCCACAUCAAGCAGUGCUAAGCCAUUUCAAAUCCUUUCUCAACAGCCUUCUGAACAUCAGCAGCUGCCAUUGCACCAUAAACAAUCUCUGUCACUGGUACAAAUGUCUUCUUGACCUUUUUCUUGAGAGCUUCAACCUGUAAGAAAAUGAAAACAAUAAAUGCUAAACUUUACCGUCACCUUUGAGCUAGCACACUGAAGCAGAAGAAUAUUGGUUAUUACCCCAAUAUUAAUUAAGCACAAAAGCACUACACUGAUGCCCUUUAAGGAUUAAAAUACAAGUAAACACUAGGCCAUUCAUGUGUUCCAUACAGUACAUGCAUAAAUAAAAUCUUGACAAUUUGAAUAGCUGCAUAGUUUGAUGUAUAACACUCAAGUAUGACUGAUGGAGAAAGAGUGAUGUGUUACCUUACCAUCUGUCUCCAUUUGGACAGGUUUGUCUCCAGACUCUGGAACACCAUUGUCAGCCCCUGAAGCAGCUGCACCAUCCUGCAUAUUUACAUCAGUUUCUGAUGUAGUUGAAGGAGCAGCUGAAGCUUCAUCUGUUUCCAUUUUGGCAGGUUCCUUAGCUGUCUCUUUUACUUUUGUUGUAAUUAUGUGAUUUGUGGUUGGAUCUGUUUAGGUUCUUUUUCUCUACCAUUAUUCAGGGUAGUAAUUGAUUGGUAACUACUACUUAUGUUAUAAAGUUAACAUCUUUAUAUAACUCUAUGUUUCUAUUGGGUCCUAAUAAAACUGUCAAAAAGAGAAUAGGUUCUUUGUCUCUUCCAAUUUUCAGGUUAGUAAUUGAUUGGUAACUAACUAUGUUAUAAAGUUUCCAUCUUUAUAUAACUCUAUGCUUCUAUUGGUUCCUAAUAAAACUGUGAAAUAGAGAAAUAGGUUCUUUGUCUUUUCCAAUAUUCAGGUGAUUACUAACUAUAUUAUGUAUUCCUUGUGAUAAAGUUUCCAUCUUUAUAUAACUCUAUGUUUCUAUUAGGUCCUAAUAAAACUGUCAAUAAGAGAAUAGGUUCUUUGUCUCUUCCAAUAUUCAGGUGAUUACUAGCAAUAUUAUGUAUUCCUUGUGAUAAAGUUUCCAUCUUUAUAUAACUUUAUGCUUCUGGUGGGUCCUAUUGUCGUAAUAAAACUGUGAAGAAAAUAAAUUGGUUUGGGGAAAAGAGAAUGAAUAAAGAAAUCAUAUCGUUGGACUUUGUUCUGUAAUUAGCUUGAUUUUGGUGUUUUCAAUCUGCACUGUGCUAGAAUUUGUUCUCAUUGAUUCAGACGAUCCAUAAUGUUACUGGUAAUAUAGUUCUUCCAAAUUUGUUCUCUUGUUAGUAUCUGUUGCGUUUUGUUGAGGGAUUUGACUGUUUCUUGGUUUCCGGACAUGAUUGUUUUUAGUGCUGUUGUUCGCUCAUGGUUCUCGAUUGAAAUGAAAGUGGCUCGAACGGGCCGGAGUAUGUGGUGGAUUCAAUUUCCAUUUUUUGGACAGGUGGGGUAAAUUUUAUUCACAUUAUAGCACUAGCAGGGAGCUACAAAAUUACAAAGUAGAUGGUAAUAUCCUCUCUUCAGCUAAGCAGAAAGUCUAUGAACUCCAUCAUGACGUCCAAAUCAUAAACAGCACUACACAGAUGCCCUUUAAGGAUUAAAAUACAAGUAAACACUAGGCCAUUCAUGUGUUCCAUACAGUACAUGCAUAAAUAAAAUCCUGACAAUUUGAAUAGCUGCAUAGUUUGAUGUAUAACACUCAAGUAUGACUGAUGGAGAAAGAGUGAUGUGUUACCUUACCAUCUGUCUCCAUUUGGACAGGUUUGUCUCCAGACUCCAGAACACCGUUGUCAGCCCCUGAAGCAGCUGCACCAUCCUGCAUAUUCCUUCUGACCUUUUGUUUUAGUUAUUACGUGCUUGAUUAAUUGGAUUCUCUGCUUCAUUUCACUUGCCCUUAUUUGUGAAAUUGCAUACUGUUAUCCCUCCUUAAAGAAUAAUAGGUGCUCUCUUCAGGUGUGCCAACCGGGAAGGCUGUUGUUAUGCAGAUAUGUGGUGACAAGGUUAAUUGCUAUGUUUUGCAUAUUAUCCACUCUGGAAUCCCCCAAAACUCUGCAAUCUCUUCUUGAGGAUCCAACUGUUGUGAAGGUGGGUGUUGGCAUUGCAAAUGAUGCCUUACAAGGUUUACCGAGAUCAUAAUGUCUCUGUAAAGACUUCGGAAGAUCUGUCUGAACUCGCCAACAAAAAGCUUGAUGAUCCCAAGAAGUGGGGUCUAACAUCACUAACUGAGAAGCUUCUUGCCAAGCAGAUGGCAGGUGAAAAAAGGGGUAAGAAAACAAAGAAGGCUAAGGAGACGGGGUUUCCCAGAGACCACCACAAAACCUUGUGAUUAGAGAUAGAAGCCCGUCGCCACGUCUCCCACCACGCGGUGCUCCAUUGCCUUAUGAUCCCCUCAUGUGCUGAUGAUGCUCGUAACCCCCAUACUCAAUCUAGUGGUGCGGAUGAUGAUGGGACUCACGUGUCAAACACACAAAGGCAUGUUUGAAUGUUAAUGUUGUGGUGGAUUUGCGGAUUGUGUAAGUGUUUUGUGGAUAUUUGCGAGGGGUGAAGUAGUCUAGUGUUGUAGACUAACUUAGUGUAGAUUAGUUUAAUGUUUUGUGGAUGUUUGUAAAGGUUGAAGUAGUUUAAUGUCUCUUUUGAAUGUUUGAAUGACGUUUUGAUUCAACUUUGAAGUAGUUUCGAAUUGAAUUUGAUGUAUUGGUGGUUGUAGUAUAUGUGUUUGUUGAAGUAAUUUAAUGUUUUAUGUA
This is a long non-coding RNA of Lycium barbarum (goji berry), 4072 nucleotides long. RefSeq lists it as uncharacterized. The record is from RefSeq and is a predicted model, not a curated record. Lineage: Eukaryota; Viridiplantae; Streptophyta; Magnoliopsida; Solanales; Solanaceae. The transcript is spliced from 4 exons.